AACGAACGCUGGCGGCAUGCCUAACACAUGCAAGUCGAACGAGACCUUCGGGUCUAGUGGCGCACGGGUGCGUAACGCGUGGGAACCUGCCCUUAGGUUCGGAAUAACUCCCCGAAAGGGGUGCUAAUACCGGAUAAUGUCUUCGGACCAAAGCUUUAUCGCCUUUGGAUGGGCCCGCGUUGGAUUAGCUAGUUGGUAGGGUAAAAGCCUACCAAGGCGACGAUCCAUAGCUGGUCUGAGAGGAUGAUCAGCCACACUGGGACUGAGAAACGGCCCAGACUACUACGGGAGGCAGCAGUGGGGAAUAUUGGACAAUGGGCGAAAGACUGAUCCAGCAAUGCCGCGUGAGUGAUGAAGGCCUUAGGGUUGUAAAGCUCUUUUACCCGGGAUGAUAAUGACAGUACCGGGAGAAUAAGCACCGGCUAACUCCGUG
RNAcentral lists this ribosomal RNA (433 nucleotides) under uncultured bacterium. RNAcentral describes it as "partial 16S ribosomal RNA". It matches the Rfam family "Bacterial small subunit ribosomal RNA", at positions 29 to 507 of the family's 1533-position model. The record is from RNAcentral.